GCCUUCGGGUACACGAGCGGCGAAUGGGUGAGUAACACGUGGGUGAUCUGCCCUGUACUUCGGGAUAAGCCUGGGAAACUGGGUCUAAUACCGGAUAUGACCUUACAUCGCAUGGUGUUUGGUGGAAAGAUUUAUCGGUACAGGAUGGGCCCGCGGCCUAUCAGCUUGUUGGUGGGGUAAUGGCCUACCAAGGCGACGACGGGUAGCCGGCCUGAGAGGGCGACCGGCCACACUGGGACUGAGACACGGCCCAGACUCCUACGGGAGGCAGCAGUGGGGAAUAUUGCACAAUGGGCGAAAGCCUGAUGCAGCGACGCCGCGUGAGGGAUGACGGCCUUCGGUUGUAAACCUCUUUCGACAGGGACGAAGCGCAAGUGACGGUACCUGUAGAAGAAGCACCGGCCAACUACGUGCCAGCAGCCGCGUAAUA
RNAcentral lists this ribosomal RNA (430 nucleotides) under Nocardia farcinica. RNAcentral describes it as "bacterial SSU rRNA". It matches the Rfam family "Bacterial small subunit ribosomal RNA", at positions 76 to 525 of the family's 1533-position model. Lineage: Bacteria; Bacillati; Actinomycetota; Actinomycetes; Mycobacteriales; Nocardiaceae. The record is from RNAcentral.